Portunus trituberculatus (swimming crab) is the source of this 1671-nucleotide long non-coding RNA. RefSeq lists it as uncharacterized. The transcript is spliced from 2 exons. The record is from RefSeq and is a predicted model, not a curated record. NCBI's taxonomy places the organism in Eukaryota, Metazoa, Arthropoda, Malacostraca, Decapoda, Portunidae.
ACGAAUAAAUAAAUGUCAUGAUAUAAGAAGAUAAACAAAAUAGGCCAAUUUAGCUUGUGUUCCUUACUUUGGGUUUACUUCAGUCGCAGUGCGUAUUUAAUCAGAAUUCAGUGCCUACAAUAUUUCUGUAUGGAACGCACGAACACUACACAAGUCUUCCCGUGCAUAUUAUCAUCAUCGGUCUAAAAUCGGCGAGAUCUCUAGGCUUGUGUGGCGAUCGGCUGUGGCUAGGCUGGUGUGGCGAUCUUGACUAGACUGGUGUGGUGGUCGGCAGUGGUACAGUGCCGCGCGCACCCACACAUCUGUCAAGAGAGGGCCAAGUAAACAGCCAACAGGAGCCCCAAACGCUGCCCAUUAAUCAAGAAGGCAAGUCUGGUGGCGCGUGUUAACACUUCAUUUUGAUACAACAAACCCUCUAGCUUCGUACGUUUCUUUGCCCUCUCCCACGCCUGCCUUGUAUCCCAGCCAUCGCUGCCGCCGCCUCAUCCCUUCCCAUUCCUUGGUCAGCCAGGCGCCCUCCAUGUGUGUGUGUGUGUGUGUUCGCUGGCAUUACAUUAUAGUAUUCAUGUAGGAGAUGUGCAUUAUUUUUUAGUCUACUGUAAAGCAUUUCUUUCCUUCACUAUCAGAAAAGAAUUCUAACACUGCAAUGAUUUACAAAUUCACGGCAAAAAUGACAAACUACAAGGUUGUACUUUUUUCGCGGAGUUAACAUUGCCAGAUUUCUUGAUAUUUAGGAGACCUUUUUAGUGAUCCAUAACAUUUACUGAAUUUGCUGAAAGCCUGAAACCUUUCCUUUGCGUUCAAGUAACCGAACCGUCUCGAAACACGGAACCGAAGCGAAGCGAGUCACUUACUGAAGCCACAGCACGUCACUAGUCACGACUCACCACUCACUAACCAGUCCCUGCGGCUUUGUUGUGUGGCACGUGUGUAACAUCUUGUCUUCUGAGGUGUCUAGUUGUAGUGAAGGAGACACGGGAACAGAAUUGUUGAAGGUGAAGUUUUGUGCGAGGCCUGCACCAACUGACAGCAGCUCAAUAGAACGGAUUAUGGUCGUGAGCCAAGGACACCAACGUACAACAAGAUCGCUGGGCCAGCAAUAUACAUGUAAGCUUGGAAUCUGCCGUGCUGUGGAGGAAAAGAUCGUGUGGGCUAAAACAUAAGAAUAGGAACAUAAGACAAGAGACUUUCAAGAGAACACUAGAUCGAUUUCAGCGGGAGAUAAAGGAAGGUCUAUCAGCUCCGUUAUAGCACACAGGAUCUCAGUACUAGAGCUACAAAGGCUGUGUGGAUAACAUGAUCUACAACAGUAAACAAAUCAAUAAAAGUCUAGAUGCGUUGAUAGCUACACUAAAAACAUAACGACCAGAAUAGAAUGCAGACAAUUAAUAACAAGAAAGAAUUAGACGGACAAAUAAAUAGAUACGUUUACAUUGAAAUUUGAGACUGUACUGGCCUAACUUAUUAAAAUCGCUUCUAUAAUUGUGUUCUUUAGAGCUCUACAUAUUUGGGAGUCUUUUUUUUCUUUUUUCCUUGAUUUUUGUGUCUUGGAAGAAGAAAAGUAGUAAAUGAAUAAACAAAUAAGAACACAUACGUAGAUAAAAAUUACGAAGUCAAUUAAUGUAAGAUGAAAAGAAAAAAAAAGUGAUAGUAAGAUAAAAAAAAAAUAGA